AACGAACGCUGGCGGCAUGCCUAACACAUGCAAGUCGAACGAAGGCUUCGGCCUUAGUGGCGCACGGGUGCGUAACGCGUGGGAAUCUGCCCUUGGGUUCGGAAUAACAGUUAGAAAUGACUGCUAAUACCGGAUGAUGUCGUAAGACCAAAGAUUUAUCGCCCAGGGAUGAGCCCGCGUAAGAUUAGGUAGUUGGUGGGUAAAGGCCGUACCAAGCCGACGAUCUUUAGCUGGUCUGAGAGGAUGAUCAGCCACACUGGGACUGAGACACGGCCCAGACUCCUACGGGAGGCAGCAGUGGGGAAUAUUGGACAAUGGGCGAAAGCCUGAUCCAGCAAUGCCGCGUGAGUGAUGAAGGCCUUAGGGUUGUAAAGCUCUUUUACCAGGGAUGAUAAUGACAGU
This 402-nucleotide ribosomal RNA is filed under the name uncultured bacterium. RNAcentral describes it as "bacterial SSU rRNA". It matches the Rfam family "Bacterial small subunit ribosomal RNA", at positions 29 to 458 of the family's 1533-position model. The record is from RNAcentral.